AUGGCCGUGAGAGGAAAACUCAACAACGGCACAGCACAAGGGCAUGAACAGGCAGCACUGCGGCAAGGCGUCCAGGACCUCGAUAAGAGAGACGCUGCCGCUGCGCCUUUUCCCAACCAAACACAUCCGAACUGGGUUCUCGCUGGUUUAGCAACGCUGCCGCUGAUCACAGUUCAUGAAAUUGCACGACCACAAUCCAGAAGCACUCUUAGCUACAACUUCAUGCUACAGGCUUGUAUACAAACAAGCCCCCUAGGCUUGCACGGAGACAGAGACGUGAAAAUUUCAGUCACAUGUUUCAUCCGCAAACAACAUCAGUACUAA
RNAcentral lists this ribosomal RNA (324 nucleotides) under Triticum aestivum (bread wheat). RNAcentral's name for it is "partial small subunit ribosomal RNA". Lineage: Eukaryota; Viridiplantae; Streptophyta; Magnoliopsida; Poales; Poaceae. The record is from RNAcentral.